ACGCUCGACACCUACGGGAGCAGCAGUGGGGAAUAUUGCACAAUGGGGGAAACCCUGAUGCAGCGACGCCGCGUGAGCGAAGAAGUAUUUCGGUAUGUAAAGCUCUAUCAGCAGGGAAGAAACUGACGGUACCUGACUAAGAAGCACCGGCUAAAUACGUGCCAGCAGCCGCGGUAUCUGAGCGGGCUGGCAAGGC
RNAcentral lists this ribosomal RNA (196 nucleotides) under uncultured bacterium. RNAcentral describes it as "partial 16S ribosomal RNA". It matches the Rfam family "Bacterial small subunit ribosomal RNA", at positions 328 to 539 of the family's 1533-position model. The record is from RNAcentral.